Eptesicus fuscus (big brown bat) is the source of this 186-nucleotide long non-coding RNA. RefSeq lists it as uncharacterized. The record is from RefSeq and is a predicted model, not a curated record. The transcript has 3 exons. Lineage: Eukaryota; Metazoa; Chordata; Mammalia; Chiroptera; Vespertilionidae.
GUGAAAGUUUAUGAGAAGGAGGAAACUACCCAUAAAGCCAUGGGCUGGAGGCCAUCCUGGUGCAUAUCUCGCUGGCUGUGAGGCGAUUCCGGCUUUCAUCCACUCCUCUGGCUGGAUCUGUCACUCCAGCUUUGUGGAGAGCAUAGAUCUGAAAGGGUCUCAAUGGACAAAACCAUCCUACUGGAG